UGGGGAAUAUUGGACAAUGGGCGGAAGCCUGAUCCAGCAAUGCCGCGUGUGUGAAGAAGGCCUUAGGGUUGUAAAGCACUUUUGUUAGGGAGGAAGGAGUAUAUAUUAAUACUAUAUACGACAGACGUUACCUAAAGAAUAAGCACCGGCUAACUCUGUGCCAGCAGCCGCGGUAAUACAGAGGGUGCGAGCGUUAAUCGGAAUUACUGGGCGUAAAGGGUGCGUAGGUGGAUACGUAAGUCAGAUGUGAAAUCCCCGGGCUUAACCUGGGAACUGCAUAUGAUACUGCGAAUCUAGAGUAUGGUAGAGGUAAGUGGAAUUUCCGGUGUAGCGGUGAAAUGCGUAGAUAUCGGAAGGAAUAUCAGUGGCGAAGGCGACUUACUGGACUGAUACUGACACU
Molecule: ribosomal RNA, 400 nt
Filed under: uncultured bacterium
Lineage: Bacteria
Description: bacterial SSU rRNA
Rfam family: Bacterial small subunit ribosomal RNA
Source: RNAcentral